RNAcentral lists this unclassified non-coding RNA (350 nucleotides) under uncultured Sebacinales. Its description in RNAcentral is "sequence contains ITS1". The stretch from base 1 to 105 matches the Rfam family "5.8S ribosomal RNA", at positions 50 to 154 of the family's 154-position model. The record is from RNAcentral. Lineage: Eukaryota; Fungi; Basidiomycota; Agaricomycetes; Sebacinales.
GAAAUGCGAUACUUGGUGUGAAUUGCAGAAUUCAGUGAAUCAUCGAAUCUUUGAACGCACCUUGCACCCUUUGGUAUUCUGAAGGGUACACCCGUUUGAGUGUCAUUGUAAUCUCACCUCUUUGGCUUUAUUGUCGAUCAGUGUGGACUUGGAUGUUGCCGUGUAACAAACGGCUCGUCUGAAAUGCCUGAGUGUACCCUGCUUUGCGGCGUAUUCGGUGUGAUAAAUCUUCACCGGAGUCUGACUUUCGGGUCGCGCUUGUAUUGUUGGCUCUAUGCUUCCAACCGUCCUAACAAGACAAUCUUUGACAAUUUGACCUCAAAUCGGGUGGGACUACCCGCUGAACUUAA